Acanthosepion pharaonis is the source of this 110-nucleotide non-coding RNA. Lineage: Eukaryota; Metazoa; Mollusca; Cephalopoda; Sepiida; Sepiidae. The record is from the annotation of a GenBank genome assembly.
GGCCACAUCAGAUUGAAACACAGGUUCCCGUACGUUGACCGUAGUUAAGCAACGUCUAUCCUGAUCAGUACUUUGAUGGAUGACCGCGUGAGAAUGCCAGGUUCUGUAAG